Molecule: non-coding RNA, 148 nt
Filed under: Candidatus Uhriibacteriota
Lineage: Bacteria
Description: Candidatus Uhrbacteria SAM-I sequence
Rfam family: SAM riboswitch aptamer (S box leader)
About the family: The SAM riboswitch is found upstream of a number of genes which code for proteins involved in methionine or cysteine biosynthesis in Gram-positive bacteria. The SAM riboswitch acts at the level of transcription termination control.
Source: RNAcentral
ACGUAUCCAGAGUGCAGCGAGGGAAUCGGCCCAAUGACCUGCCAGCAACCCUUCUCCGCCGUCGCCCCUAUCGGGGCUAUGGCGGACCAGCCUACGGCUGGGACAAGAAGAAGGUGCCAACUCCGACCCGUGAUGGGAAAGAUAACCU